CAUUUAACUGAUUGCCCUUAGAAGUUGGCUUCUUACAGAAACACAGCUUCCCUAUCACCAAAUGUCACGGCACGCCACUGUAAUGCACAUAUAUUUUUUAAUUCUUUAAAACAUUUUAUAUAUUUGAUUAUUUAUAAGAAGUUUUCUUCUAGAAAUAGGGUAUCUCAUGGCAAAAUAUGGGCUAGCAUUUGAAACAAUGAAGCAGUUUUCUAAAAUUAAUGGAUCUGAAUCUCUUUAUGAUUUAAUAGUCUUAUUAAGUGGAUGCAAAGAGUUUCAAGAUAUUUUACUUCGCAGUAAUGAAAGAAAAAUUUUAAAUACUUUGAAUAAAAAUAAAACAAAAGCAACAAUUAGAUAUCCUGUCUCAGGAAAGGUAAACACUCCUCAAUUAAAAAUAAAUUGUAUUAUUCAAGCAGCACUUGGAUGUUUAACAAUUUCAGAACCAUCUUUAAAUCAAGAUAUGACAAAAAUAAUGAAGAUAGGUCAAAGAAUUAGUAAAGGUUUAGCUGAAUACUUAUUUAUAGAAAUUAGAGGAUUUAAAGCAUUAUUAAAUGCCAUUACUUUGGCAAAAUGUUUUCAUGCACGACUAUGGGAAAAUUCUAAGUAUGUUUCAAGACAAUUGGAAAAAAUUGGUGCAGCUUUCUCUGAUAUACUAGUGAAUGCUAAUAUAACCAGUUUUCAAGCUAUAGAAGAUACAAAUCCUAGAGAAUUAGAAAUGAUUUUAAACAGAAACCCACCAUUUGGAAGCUAUAUUCAUGAUGCAACAUGUCAUUUACCAAAAUAUGAAAUAUGUAUUGAGCAGGAAUCCAAAACCUUAAAUAAUUACUUGGAUAUAUAUGUUACUGUCAUGUUGAAAAAUUACAAGUUGCUUCAAGAAAAACACACAGCUUCUUCAAAUCACUCCUGUGUAUUAUUAGUAGGUGACUCUGAUGAUAAUUUAAUUUUAAAACAAAGAGUAAUGGACUCGACUCUGAUUAAAAUGGGACAACUGAUGAAAAAAUUUCAAAUUCAAGCAUGUAAAGAGAAUAUGGAACUUAAAGUAUAUGUAAUUAGUGAACAUUAUGAAUUUUCUAUCCCUUUUUAAUCCUUCUUUUGUCAAUGGGGGAUCUGUUCCAAGAAACAUCAGUAACAAUACUGUAGAUAGAACAACAAUGAGCCCAAAGGGGAAGAGAAACUGGUUACUCUUGAGCUUGAUUUUGGAGAGGACACACAAAGGUCCUGAUAGUCUGAGGAGAGACUUUCUAUCAUCACAAAGUUGGAUAAGCAACGGAACUAUAUUUGUGAUGAAAGACAGAAAAUGAUAAAGCCAGAAGAUUUCCUUGUGGACUUCAUCUCACAAGUGAGGAACAGUAUCCCCCAACAAAAUUCCAGGUUUAGUGAGUUCCUAAGUUGUGCUUGUGGGGUCUCCCCCCUUUUCUCGGUGUGGACCUACUUUUUUCUGCUCGGGAGCGCAAGUGUGCGCAAGUUUUUUCUACGGUGCUUUCCCUCGUUGUUGGAUUAGAUAAGCAGAUUACUUAUAAACUACAUUCAGGAAAAUUUCAUGAACAGAAAAGUCAUAUAAAUAAAAAGAAUAGUAAUCCUGGAAAU
Molecule: unclassified non-coding RNA, 1584 nt
Filed under: Centruroides sculpturatus (bark scorpion)
Lineage: Eukaryota; Metazoa; Arthropoda; Arachnida; Scorpiones; Buthidae
Description: probable ATP-dependent DNA helicase HFM1, transcript variant X1
Source: RNAcentral